Molecule: ribosomal RNA, 807 nt
Filed under: Triticum aestivum (bread wheat)
Lineage: Eukaryota; Viridiplantae; Streptophyta; Magnoliopsida; Poales; Poaceae
Description: partial small subunit ribosomal RNA
Source: RNAcentral
AUGAAUGCGAGUCUGAAAAAAGGAUCCUCUUUCACGUGGCAAAGCAUUAUGGCCGGAGUGGAUUCUCUCAAAAAAGGUUAUAUUUGGAGAGUUGGUAAUGGACAGAAUAUUGAUAUCUGGAGAGAUGCAUGGAUCCCGAAUGGGGAAAAUAGGAAAAUUAUCACUCCUAGAAGAGGGCAGCUUCUAACAAAAGUUGUUGAUCUUAUAGAUCCAAUCAACAAUUGCUGGGAUGAAGAUUUGGUAAGACAAAUGUUGUGGCCAAUUGAUGUCCAGAGAGUGCUUACGAUCCCCCUCCCCACGUAUGACAUGUCGGAUUUCGUAGCUUGGAGCUUUACAAAGAAUGGACUGUUCACGGUUCGUUCUGCUUAUCUGGAGGAAUGGAAAGCCCAACAUGGGAGGAAAUUGCAACACUCAGAUGGCAUUGGAGGAAUAAAUGUCAAUACUAUUUGGAGCAAGAUUUGGAAAUUAUCUUGUCCAGCAAAAGUGAAGAUCUUUAUUUGGCGUACCUUACAUGGAACCCUCCCGUGUCGUGCUACACUUGCUAAUAGACAUAUGAAAGUCUCUCCCACCUACCCAUCAUGUUCGAACGGGCAUGAAGAUACUAAACACUUAUUAUUUUUAUGUCAAAAGGCAAAAGAGGUGUGGGAGAAACUGGGAUUGCACAAAGCCAUUAAAAAAGCCUGUGCGGUCGAUCGUGCGGGAGAGGCAGUACUUGAAUUUCUAAUUUUUAUGCCAGAACAUGAGCUAUCUACAUUGGGCACACAGAAUGUUCGCGAACUGAUCGCUAUAACAGCCUGGUAUUUAUGA